Long non-coding RNA from Polyodon spathula (Mississippi paddlefish), 1263 nucleotides. RefSeq lists it as uncharacterized. The record is from RefSeq and is a predicted model, not a curated record. NCBI's taxonomy places the organism in Eukaryota, Metazoa, Chordata, Actinopteri, Acipenseriformes, Polyodontidae. The transcript has 3 exons.
AAUUCCAUCAUGGAAGAAGUUUUAGAGCAUGAAGGACAUUUCCAUAACCCACUGGAUCAGAUGGACUUCAUUGUUAAAACACUGAAGGAAGAUCCAGAUCUUCAGCUCUUCUUGCUGAUCCACAACAUCGAUGGGCAGAUGCUGUGAGGAGAUAAAACCCAACAGAUACUGGCACAGCUGGCUGCAAUCCCAAGUCUUCACUUCAUAGCCUCCAUUUACCACAUCAACACACCUCUAUGUCAGUAACAUGCAGCCUUUUUACUACAAGCGCCCAGCUUAAUCUGUUGGGAUACGCCCUUUCAGUUCAGUCUACAUAUUAGUUUAAGUCAGUUUCUGCUGCUCUCGGUUAAAUUAGAAGGACCAUUUUAUAACCAUUCUACACAUUUACAGGGCUUAGGACUUUCCUUCCUGUCACAUGAUAUGCUACAAAUAUUUUUGUAAAACGUCUUCAGAUCAACUGUGGCCAGUUCUGAGUUAAAUGUCGUUUCUGUCAUUUUAUUUAUUCAUCUUUUAACUUUCAAGACUACGCUGUAUGUAGUUAUAUGUAGUUAUAUUAAAAUGAACAAGAAGUCUGUCUUUUGAGAAUGUCCUACCAAUGAGAAAUGAAAUAACUUUGUUAUAUAACCCUUAUUCUUGAGUAAAAUGGAUUCCUGGGUUCAAAUAAAUCACAAGUGAAAUUUAAAUGAGGUGGUUUUCAAUGUAGCAGUCAGUGGCACAAUUGACCUAAAGAGUAAUCUGCUCUGUUAUUACCGCUGCUCAGAUACACACGGGGUAUUUUUGUUUGUUUUUACACAGCGUGGGGCCAGUUCAAGAUGAGUUUAACUGGCUGUGAUAGGAGACCACCACGUACCAGUCGUACAUCGCGGAGGCUUUGUACGAGAACUCGCUGCUCUUCAAGCAGUCUGGAGCCCUGGCGCUCAACUCGCUCACACAUGUCAUGCGCAGUCUGACGCCUAACGCAAGGGUGCAGAUGAUGUUGAGUAUCUGAUCAUACCCAUUGAGACUGGACACGGAUUUCCUGGAAAAGGAAGAUACAAAUAAAGGAACGCUGGUGGCCCGUGCUACCUAUGCAUUAUCUUACUAAUACCAGUGUGCUCAACCAUGUCUGUUUUAAACCUACUGCAUCAAACCUUGACAGAAGGUGUAACUAGCACUUUAUUGGUAGCUUCUGCAGAAGUACUAUCCAUCUUAGUGUUGUACAAUGUAUUUUGAUAGCACUUAAAGUUCUAGUACUGUAGUAAAAGUUUUCAAUAGUAGAGCAAU